This 1926-nucleotide small RNA is filed under the name Rattus norvegicus (Norway rat). RNAcentral's name for it is "uncharacterized LOC102551356". Lineage: Eukaryota; Metazoa; Chordata; Mammalia; Rodentia; Muridae. The record is from RNAcentral.
CCACAGCCUUGCUCAUGUUACACACUCUUCUCUGAGCUCCCCUCAGCCCUCUCUUGUUUUAUUUUUAUUUCUUAUUUUGACAUAGGAUCUUACUACGGUAGCCUGACGGGGUCUUAAACUCACUCUGUUGCUUAGGCUUUCAACCUGUAAUCCUCCUGCCUCAGCCUUGUGAGUGGCUGGGAUUGCAGGCUUCCUCGUGUUCCUUUCAAGCAGCAACGAGCACAUAUCAAAUCCCUUUCUAAGGCUGGAUUUCUGCUGUUAGUUCUUCUUGUGCUCGAAAUAGUUACAGGAUUGGUCUCUCCCAGCCCUUUCCUGAUAAGUAAGCUGUGGGAGUCACGUAGACAAAUACUUUGGAGUUUGGAGACCUGUUCAGUUUAUCCCAAGUGUGGAGUGUGCGCUUCCGGGCUUGUUAAUGAUUACUCUGAAUAGUGCUUCUUGAGAGCGUUGGCAGCCGAGUCUUUGUCUCUUUUCUCUGAUUGCAGCGAGAGCAGGUGGUACUCUCUGGCACGGUGAGAAGCAGCGCAUGCUUCUUUCCCGUUUCAGAUGGGCUCCACAACUCAGAGGAGAGCCCUCAUCGCUCGGUCCUCCCUCUGCGGAGCAGGCACCGGCCCAUCUUCCUCUCAGUGGAUAACAACCCUCUUUUCCUGUUGCUAGAAGACUGGGGACAUCUUUGGCUGGAAUAGACCACUGUGGGGAGAAGGCUCUUAGGAGAGUGGUCCAUGAGGAAGACCUAUCAUGAGAAGAAAGGAUCAAAUCAGGCUUCGUGGCAAGUACCUUGGCUCACCAAGGCAUGUUGGCUGUUCCUGUAGCAGAGACUCUAGAAGAAAAAGCACCUAUACAGUGCCACUGAAUGGAUAUUCUUGGAUGUGUGCACUUCAUAGUUAUGGGUGGAAACAACCUUGAAAAUGGCAGAGUCACAAAGAGAAAAGCGCACCUGGGCCAUUAGACCUGGGGCAGCUUUGUGUCUCAGGCUUCUCAGGAUGGUUUCUGAAGUCUGAAAGAUCCGGAUUCUGGACUAGCACAGUUUAAAGCCAGACGUCGUGUGUUAGAGGAGACACAGCAUCACCAUCCGGACUUCAUCCUUCUUCAGAAGAAUUGAUACUUAAGACACGGUUUCUAAAUAAUGCUUGUAAUGUACGUUAUUUUAUUUUAUUCUAUUUUAUUUUUCGGCCAGGAGGAAUUCUACAAUUUUUAAUUUUAGAUUUCAAGCUGUUUUGUGGAAGCCAGUGUGUGCUUCUGUCCAGUUUGCGGACACCUCGGCUGGUGUUUGCAGCUCUCAGGAUCAUAUUCGCCACUCUUACUUUCUAAGUGAGGAAGCUAAAGCUGGAACAGAGCGGUGUGAACAGCAAAACUAUCGAUCAGGCCUGGCAUUGCGAACGCUAGUGAGCAUACUCUUACUCACUCUCUAGCAUCAGAUUAUUAGAGGGGAUCAAGACAGACAGGCGGCCAGAAGCCACCUUGUUAAAUACUAAAGCCUAGACUGCCAGCAGCCAAGAGCUCGUGAAACAUCUUCAAAGCCAGAAGUCCCACACGCAUUUUUGAAAGGUUGCCUGUGGUUUCCUGUAAACAACUGUAUGUUAAAUGGCUCCACAAAGGAAGGCCUUAUUAAGAAUAAACGAUUUGAAGAAGGAUGAUGUGGGCGGCGACAUAAUCACAAUUUUUCUAGAGGGCUUGAUUUGUCAAUGCGUUGGUUAAUUUUGCAACCACAUUCAACUGAAACUUCGUGUCUGGGCUUCCUACCACAGCAUAUCUUCCAUGAGGCUGCCUGAGAGUAGGCUGCCUGAGAGUAGGGAGAUACCCCAACCCAGCAGCAAGACCUGUGUUUGCAGCAUGACCUUAUUGGGUUGAGCCCUGAUGCUGCCCCCUCCACCCCCUCCCCUUGGGUGUAUGUGAGGAUUAAAACUAUUAUUCAUAUUUGAAUAUUAA